CGUGCAGGCGGGUUGGUAAGUCAGAUGUGAAAGCCCUGGGCUCAACCCAGGAAGUGCAUUUGAAACUGCCAUCCUUGAGUAUGGGAGAGGAGAGUGGAAUUCCCAAUGUAGAGGUGAAAUUCGUAGAUAUUGGGAGGAACACCCGUGGCGAAGGCGACUCUCUGGACCAAUACUGACGCUGAGACGCGAAAGCGUGGGAGCAAACA
Molecule: ribosomal RNA, 206 nt
Filed under: uncultured bacterium
Lineage: Bacteria
Description: partial 16S ribosomal RNA
Rfam family: Bacterial small subunit ribosomal RNA
Source: RNAcentral